This 97-nucleotide non-coding RNA is filed under the name Cajanus cajan (pigeon pea). Its description in RNAcentral is "Bacterial small subunit ribosomal RNA". It matches the Rfam family "Bacterial small subunit ribosomal RNA", at positions 1229 to 1325 of the family's 1533-position model. Lineage: Eukaryota; Viridiplantae; Streptophyta; Magnoliopsida; Fabales; Fabaceae. The record is from Rfam by way of RNAcentral.
AAUAGACGGAACAAAUGAUCGUGAUCCCGCGAGGGUGAGCGAACUCCAAAAACUCAUCCUCAGUUCAGAUUGUAGGCUGCAACUCGCUUGCAUGAAG